GUGCACGCUGGCGGUAGGCCUAACACCUGCAAGUCGAACGGCAGCACCGUAAGAGCUUGCUCUUCCGGGUGGCGAGUGGCGGACGGGUGAGGAAUACAUCGGAAUCUACUUUUUCGUGGGGGAUAACGUAGGGAAACUUACGCUAAUACCGCAUACGACCUACGGGUGAAAGCAGGGGAUCUUCGGACCUUGCGCGAUUGAAUGAGCCGAUGUCGGAUUAGCUAGUUGGCGGGGUAAAGGCCCACCAAGGCGACGAUCCGUAGCUGGUCUGAGAGGAUGAUCAGCCACACUGGAACUGAGACACGGUCCAGACUCCUACGGGAGGCAGCAGUGGGGAAUAUUGGACAAUGGGCGCAAGCCUGAUCCAGCCAUACCGCGUGGGUGAAGAAGGCCUUCGGGUUGUAAAGCCCUUUUGUUGGGAAAGAAAAGCAGCAGGUUAAUACCCCGCUGUUCUGACGGUACCCAAAGAAUAAGCACCGGCUAACUUCGUG
This 491-nucleotide ribosomal RNA is filed under the name uncultured bacterium. RNAcentral describes it as "partial 16S ribosomal RNA". It matches the Rfam family "Bacterial small subunit ribosomal RNA", at positions 29 to 507 of the family's 1533-position model. The record is from RNAcentral.